UUAAAUUGAAGAGUUUGAUCAUGGCUCAGAUUGAACGCUGGCGGCAGGCCUAACACAUGCAAGUCGAACGGUAACAGGAAGCAGCUUGCUGCUUCGCUGACGAGUGGCGGACGGGUGAGUAAUGUCUGGGAAACUGCCUGAUGGAGGGGGAUAACUACUGGAAACGGUGGCUAAUACCGCAUAACGUCGCAAGACCAAAGAGGGGGACCUUCGGGCCUCUUGCCAUCAGAUGUGCCCAGAUGGGAUUAGCUUGUUGGUGAGGUAACGGCUCACCAAGGCGACGAUCCCUAGCUGGUCUGAGAGGAUGACCAGCCACACUGGAACUGAGACACGGUCCAGACUCCUACGGGAGGCAGCAGUGGGGAAUAUUGCACAAUGGGCGCAAGCCUGAUGCAGCCAUGCCGCGUGUAUGAAGAAGGCCUUCGGGUUGUAAAGUACUUUCAGCGGGGAGGAAGGUGUUGUGGUUAAUAACCGCAGCAAUUGACGUUACCCGCAGAAGAAGCACCGGCUAACUCCGUGCCAGCAGCCGCGGUAAUACGGAGGGUGCAAGCGUUAAUCGG
Molecule: ribosomal RNA, 560 nt
Filed under: Salmonella enterica subsp. enterica serovar Itami str. SA20014991
Lineage: Bacteria; Pseudomonadati; Pseudomonadota; Gammaproteobacteria; Enterobacterales; Enterobacteriaceae
Description: bacterial SSU rRNA
Rfam family: Bacterial small subunit ribosomal RNA
Source: RNAcentral